AACAAUUCUUGAAAUAACAGCUAUUAUAUAAAAGAUUUAUUAUUGUUGUUAUGUAAAAAUUAAAGUAAUGUGCCAUAUGUUCAUUUAGAAUAAAAAAAAAGCUUACAGAAUUGGCUAAGGCAGCAUGCAUUUAUUGCAACAUCGAGAUGGGGAGGUGUUGAUGAAUGCUGACACAAGGAGGGGAGGUCAGCCAAGUGUGUAUGCAUACAAAAUAUUUCAUUUAUUUUGGAAUAUUCUGUUGUUAAUUGACAUUUAUUGUACAUAUGGGGAGGAGAGGCAAUGAUGAUGACAAAUUUUAUACAGAAAGGGGGUGGGAAUAAAAAAUGAAGCAAAAUCUGUCAUUGCAAUAUGUGAAAGUCACCUAACAACUUAGGAAAUUCACAGAUCAUAUGAGUAAUGUUUACUGCAGUUAACUAUAUUUUUAUCUGUGCUAUAUAGAAAAUGAAAGCUGCCUGUACUGUACAAUAUGAUUUAGUUGCAAUUUAAAAGUUUUUCUUCAGUAUAAGAAAGAUAAUGUUACAAAUUUCAUUUAAUUUUAAUUUCUUUUUCUAAAGUAAGCCUUAAAAUUGUCACAUGACACGUGGUGAAUGAUAAUUCAUCCAUGUGACAAACUGUUAUGCAAAAGUUUAACAAUCCAGAACUAAAUACAUAAAUUUAAUACUAUUAAAUCACUACUUCCACCAAUGAAUAUGUGAUACUGAUGAGGAUUAUUGAAUCAAAAUGCAUUUAUAUUACAAUAAAGACGUUGAAGACAAGUAAAUUGGUUUUUACUUUGUUAUUCUUGGAAUUUUGUAAUAGUUAGGAAAAUAUGUGUAUUUCUUGUAAAGUUGAGAAAUUCAUUCAUUUUUAAAUUUCAGGGUUCCCACAGGUCCAGAAAUCUGGACAAAGUUCUUGAAUGUCAAAAAAUUACACAAAGGAUGGGAAUGUCAACAACAUCCAGGUAAAGUCCUGGAACAAUGUUAAAGAAGCACUAUUCUUUAACAUGCAGGUUGCAUGCCUGAAAAAGUGCACACAAAUAUUUAGAGCAUAUUCCUAAAUCAUUUCUAAACUUCAGUAAGGGACGAUGAUACUAGAUGUACAGAAAUUAUGUUUGAUGUACAGUAUAACUGUUAUCUUGGAAAAAGGAUUAUAUUCUUUGUUAACACUUGGAAUUCAUGCUGUUAUCAAGUGUUGCCAAUGAAGAACUCUAGCUUAUUUGGUCCUAGUGUUAAGUUAUACAGUUAUCAUAAAGUUUCAGAAGCAUUUCUCCAGAAGAUUAUGGCUCUCUUUGUGGCUUCACACUACAAAAAUUCUCCAAACGAUUUGCAACUUAUGUCUGAUGCACCAGCC
Long non-coding RNA from Centruroides sculpturatus (bark scorpion), 1329 nucleotides. RefSeq lists it as uncharacterized. The record is from RefSeq and is a predicted model, not a curated record. Lineage: Eukaryota; Metazoa; Arthropoda; Arachnida; Scorpiones; Buthidae. The transcript has 3 exons.